Molecule: long non-coding RNA, 5402 nt
Organism: Cuculus canorus (common cuckoo)
Lineage: Eukaryota; Metazoa; Chordata; Aves; Cuculiformes; Cuculidae
Exons: 3
Source: RefSeq, a predicted model, not a curated record
AGAGUAGAGAGAGAGAACCCCUUCCCUCGACCUGCUGGCCACGCUUCUUUUGAUGCAGCCCAGAAUACCCUUGGCCUUCUGGGCUGUGAGUGCGCAUUGCUAGCUCAUGCCAAGCUUCUCAUCAGUCUGCAUGCCCAAGUCCUUCACUGCAGGGCUGCUCUCGAUCAGAUUGUCCCCAUCAUGUAUUGAAAGCGUGGGUGGCCCCAACCCAGUGUAGGACCUUGCACUUGGCCUCAUUGGGCCUCAUGACAUUCACACACACCCACCUCUCUAGGCUGUCCAGGUCCCCCUGGAUGACAUCCCAUCCUUCUGGUGUGGCAACUGCACCACUCAGCUUGGUGUCAUCUGCAAACUUGUUGAGGGUGCACUCCAUCUUGAAGUCUAUAUCAUUGAUGAAAAUGUUAAACAGCACUGGACCCCUAAUGGACACUGCUUGUCACAGAUCUCCAUUUGGAUGUGGAGCCCAUGACCACUACUCUCUGAAUUUGACCGUCCAUCCUUACCCACCAAAGAGUCCACCCAUCAAAUCCAAAUAUCUCCAAUUUAGAGAGAAGAAUUUUGUUGGGGACCGUGUCAAAGGCUUUACAGAAGUCCUGAUAGAUUACACCCAUAGAUUACACCCACUGCUUUUCCUGUGUACACUGAUGUGGUCACCCCACCAUAGAAAGGGGUGAUGUUGUCACCUCAUCACAGAAAGCCACUAUGUUAAUCAGGCAGGUGAAGCCAUACUGGCUGUCUUGAAUCACAUCCCUGUCCUCUGUGUGCUUUAGCAUAGCUUCUAGGAGGAUCUAUGCCAUGAUCUUCCCAGGCACAGAGGUGAGGCUGACAGGUCAGUGGUUCCCAGGAUCCUCUUGUACCCUUUUUAAAAAUGGGCACAAUGUUGCCCUUCUUCCACUCACCAGGUGCCUCUCCUGACUGCCAUGUCUUGACAACUACAUCAUCCACUUCCCUCAGGACUCUGGGAUGCAUCUCAUCAGAUCCCAUAGACUUACACACAUUCUAAUUCUUGAGGUGGUCACAAACCUGAUCUUCCCUCACAAUGGGAGGGGCUAUUCACCCCUGGUCCCCAUCUUGGUGUCCAUUGACCCAGGAGGGGUUAGGAGAGUGGUUGUCACUGAAUGCUGAGGCAAAAAAAGUUGAGUUCUUUAGCCUUCUCCUCAUCUAUUCAUACAACAAACUAUGUCACUGGUUUUGUUCAUCAGUGGGGGUACAGUUUUCUGGUUGACAUCAAUCAGCUGUGAAUUUUUACAGAAAACAUGACUGAUGGCCUCAUGUCAUUCCACAUCAGAAACUGGGUACCACAUGUUCCAGAUCUUAUUAUUAAGCUUCCUAAAUCACGCUUUUGCCAAAGAGUUAUUCUAUAACUUUCCUAGGGUCUGAAGUAAGACUGAUGGGCCCAUAAUUUUCUUGAUCCUCCCAAAUCUCCACGACUUUUGAUGUAGCUUUUAACCCAGUGAAUACCACUUUUGUAAUCUGCCAGCACUCUGGAGACCUCCAGAAACAAACAUCAUAUUUGUAUAUAAAAAAGUACUGUAUCACAAGGAAAUAAUAUUUUAUUUUCAUAGAAUGAAAGAGUAAUUCAAUUGGAAGACAACUCAUAUGGUCAUCAGGUCAAACCUCCUUUGCAAAGCAGAUUCAGCUCCAGGUUGCUCAGAGGUCGGUACAGUUAUGUUUUGAAAAAUUCCAAGGAUUAAAACUUCUACAGCAUAACCUCUCUAGGCAAAGUCUUCCAGUUUUUGUUACAGUGUUUGUUUUAAAAUCAUUCUGAUUUUUGGAUGCCAAAGACACCAAAGAUGUUUUUCAAAGGCACCAAAAAGUCUCUGCAGAUGUAUGAAAAUGAUGUGUGAAGAAUGACUAGAAAAGAAAGGAAUCAAGUAUGUCACUGAAUCUGUAGCAUUGUAUCUCGCUUUCAGAUAGGAAAAGAAAAAAGCUUAGGAUCAUGGGUGACUGCCUGGAAAAAAACCUCUGGUGUCAGAAUUUUCUCUGAUGUUGCCUCUUCAUGCAGAGAAAGAAUGAAGAGACUGAUCUGCUUUAAGCCAAUUUCUGCAUCUUCCAGCAGAAAGAUGACUUCUGCCAUUUGGUUCACUCUUCAUUGUCGUGAUCCAGUCACUUACUUUUUCAUUCUGGCUGUAAUCUUCGUGUGGGAGUGAAAAGGGCAUGUUGAUGACAUUUAUACAUUUUCAUGGCAAUGUACCUAUACUUCUGGAACAACAUCAGUAUUUUGAGGCCCCCAUGGCACCCCAAAUUCAGAUACACAGAAUUGAAUGGGAAAUCAUCUUCCUACUGGAGCUGACAGGCCAGAAGUAACAGAGUGGAACUUUCUCCCACCUGGAAAUUACGUGGGAAUAUUCCCACAGAAUGGCAACAGGUCAGCUCUCUAGCAGAUUUCUCCAGAAGGUGGAAGUGCAUUUGAAUAAGUCUUGGAGUUGUGGUUUUCAAUUUCUGCCACCCCUGCAGUCUUUGGCUGAAAUAAAAUUAAACUAACCUGUUCAUUCACAGCAAACUAAUGCUGUGAUGCUUCUUAGAGCUAUUGCUCCAGACUUUCAACAAAAUUAUAUCAUUGCAUACAUUAAUUUCAACUGAGAGAAACUACUUGAACUUUGGACAUUUACAGGUGACCUCCAUUGUGUGAGGUAGGCCAGAGGCUCAAUGGGUUUUGCCCUUCUUUGAUUUGGACUUCUCCAAGCAAGUAUGGCUGUCUGUCGCAUUUUUGGUGUGAAAUCCUUAUGGUGAAAUAAUGUAUGACUGCCCCAAAAAACAGAGCUUUUCUAUCUUGUUUUCCAGUUUUACUGAUUUCUAGCUGUGGAUAAGAACAGCAGCAAUUUGUGAAUUCAAUGAUGUCUUUAAUAUAAAGUUUUUUCCAAGAAUUUAAAAUUUUCUACUGAGCAUGUCUCUCAAGACCCUACUCAAAAACAUUCUUGUAGCCCAUUAAAGAUAACUGCAGCAACAGUUCUUAUGUUGGGCUGUGUAAACACAGGCCUUAGUUUUUGUUCCCAAAGAGCCUGUGCUUGAGCUUGUCCUGAUUUCCAAAUCAAAAGGGAAAGGCAUUUAUUGACUUUUAAGUCUCGUUUCUUCCGGAUAUACCAGCUUUUUGCAGUGGAAAAGGAUCAGUGGAACCAAACUUCUGUUUUGAGGAUUUAAAAAAUUCCUGAAAUGCUGAGGGAAAUUCUCCUUGCUUACUGUACUGAGAAGCUGAUUAAUUAUUUGUUUCCAUUGUCUUCAGCCUCCUUGUUUCAAAGGCCAUUCAAAGUACUGAAUGAUCAAAUUAUCUGCAAAUAAUCAGGGCACCUAACACGUACUUCCCGGUGCAGUUACAUGCUUAAAGCGGUUGCUAUUUUUUGAAAAAAUAUUUGUUAACUAUUGUAGAAGUUUCCUCUCUGUACUGUUUAGUAAAUUAUGAACGUAGUGUGUUCUGAUUUCUUUGUCUUCUAUUGUGUCUGUAUGAACAGAAGAUGCAGGACUUCCAUCUCUGAUUUUAUCAUUGUCAUCUGCUCCCAUUCCCUCCCCUUCCACCUUCCCCACCCCUCAACCUCCUCCCCGACAAUAUUUCCUGAUAGUUCUUUUUCCAAUUACUGACGUGUAUCUUUCAUUUGGACAUAAAGCAAUAAAGAAUUGCUUUCUGCUUAGGGAGUUGGUUUGAUUUUAAACGAUAGAGAUAAAAGCACUUUAUCUGAACUGGUAAUUUGUUUUUUAGAUCCACAUAAUUUUUCCUGUUAUUUACCUAAUGUUGGAAGUGUCUUUAUCCUCAGAAUCCAAAGGGCUAUAACUCUGAGCUUUUAGCUAGCCUGCUUCUAAAGGAAGAUACGUGGUCCUCAGCCUGGCUUUUUAGGCCAAUUAAAUUGGGGUGGUUCAUUCUAGGUUGCAAACCUCCUCACUCAAAUCCAUGGGUUUCACAAUAAUCCUAAGCGGGUCUCUGUGUGGAGCCUGGGUUAGUGCAGACUAACCAGAAAUAGUAGAUUGAGGCUUGCGUUCAGCCACCCCUCUAGAGUUCAACAUUGCAGGCAAUUGCAGGAGUUAGCUAAACCAAAUGGAGAAUCCUAGUCAAUGCUGUUGCAUGCAUCCAGGGUCUUCUUAAAAUCUUCUGAUGCUGUCCAGAUCUUUGCAACAGCUCUUGUCUGUUUAAUGACAUUCAAAACUGUUUACUAUUUAUGAACACCAUAAGUCAUUUAAACAUUCUUCUCAAAUAUGGGCUGAAUGUGGGUUUAUCUUAUUAUUGGAUGCUUACCUUAAUUUACUGGUUUUGUGAGUACUGCUACAUUUCUGUCUUUUCUAUUUUUCUGUUUCAGAAUACAACACAUUUUCAAAUGCAUUGAAUAAAUGCUGCGGUCAAAAUGAGAGUUCUGUGUUCAGUCAGAGAACAGAUGAAGCAUCUGUGGCUCAUUAUUUUUAGUUUUGUGGCUGCCUAUCUCAACAACAGAAUAUGAUGCAGGAUUUUGUGAGGACGGCCACUUACCACAGAGCUGUCCUAGAGAACUACAUUGAUUUUGCAGACAAGCUGCAGCUGAGGAGAGAGAGACCCUGUGAACCUCAGUCCUUACUGUGCACCUGUUUUUCUUCUGCUCUGUGACUCCAUGUUUUGGGUAAACAACUGCUGGCAGCUGGCUUGUGCUCUGUGCAGUCCAUGGUAAAGGAAGAGAUUUGAAACAGAUCUUGCCUAACAAACCAGUGUGUAUUAGGAAGGAAAAAUUUUGUAGAGUGAAUGAUAGUGCUUUUCAGCAGUGUGUGUGUAACAUCAGAUGAAAGCAAUCUCAAUCUGCUAAUUGUGGUAAAUCCUCAACAGUGGGAAGCAGAAGACAUAAGGCUGAAAGUGACUGGUGCUGGUAGUUGUUUUGUCUGAACAGGAAAUGUGAUUCUAAGCAGCUUAUCUAGGACGAAGAGGAGACGUUAACAUUAACCGACUGUAAAAACUGUAUAUGUCAAGCUCUUGGAUUAACAGAAAGAAAGAGCUAUUAUGCUUGAGGGAAAUGUGAUUGUAUUGUGGAGGUCAGCUAGUGAUGGGAUCAUUAAAAGUAAAAAUAAUUAGUUCUGGUGAAAUAUCUGUCUGUCUGUCUGUCUUGAUGUGGGACAUGAAUAGCAAGUCGUUAUAUGUAAGAUGGCUAUUUAAUCUGUUGCAAUAGCCAAACAAGGGAAUUAAUUUGCUUGGAGACAUUUAACCUUGAGUCGACUGUAUUAUGACUCCUAUGAGGGUGCUUAUGUAUGGGUGGAUGCAGAUUGCCUGCAAGACACACACAGGAGUUUAUAAAAGCAUUUCAUGUGCACUGAGAGCAGUCUUGCAAAGAUUCUGUCUCAAGCACCAUAAUGGUUGCAGUAAUUUGCUAUGUAGUGUUUAGAUGAUACUUAUGUGCACUUUACUGUCUUCUAUGCAAUAAACAAAUAAGCUGCACCUGUUUAUGUUUUCUGUU